GUGCUCGCUUCGGCAACACAUAUACUAAAAAAUUGGAACGGUACAGAGAAGAUUAGCAUGGCCCCUGCGCAAGGAUGACACACAAAUUCGUGAAGCGUUCCACAUUUUG
This is a small nuclear RNA of Macaca mulatta (Rhesus monkey), 109 nucleotides long. Lineage: Eukaryota; Metazoa; Chordata; Mammalia; Primates; Cercopithecidae. The record is from Ensembl.